UGAGAUGUUGGGUUAAGUCCCGCAACGAGCGCAACCCUCAUCCUUAGUUGCUAUCAGGUAAUGCUGAGUACUUUAAGGAAACUGCCAGUGAUAAGCUGGAGGAAGGUGGGGAUGAUGUCAAGUCAUCAUGGCCUUUAUGGAGUGGGCUACACACGUGCUACAAUGGUGUCUACAAUGGGUUGCAAGGUGCGCAAGCCUAAGCUAAUCCCUAAAAGACAUCUCAUUUCGGAUUGUACUCUGCAACUCGAGUACAUGAAGUUGGAAUCGCUAGUAAUCGUGGAUCAGCAUGCCACGGUGAAUACGUUCUCGGGUCUUGUACACACUGCCCGUCACGCCAUGGGAAUUGGUU
This 349-nucleotide ribosomal RNA is filed under the name Wolbachia pipientis. Its description in RNAcentral is "bacterial SSU rRNA". It matches the Rfam family "Bacterial small subunit ribosomal RNA", at positions 1068 to 1416 of the family's 1533-position model. Lineage: Bacteria; Pseudomonadati; Pseudomonadota; Alphaproteobacteria; Rickettsiales; Anaplasmataceae. The record is from RNAcentral.